This 21-nucleotide non-coding RNA is filed under the name Caenorhabditis elegans. Lineage: Eukaryota; Metazoa; Nematoda; Chromadorea; Rhabditida; Rhabditidae. The record is from RNAcentral.
UAUUAAGUUUCCAAUAUGAGA